GUGGCUACUUAAUCUUAUUUUUGUUAUACAUUUUUUGUAAACAUUUGGAAUUGGUUUGCAUAAAUAAAAUUGCAGACAAAAAUUAUCUAACAUAUAUUUAUAAUUAGAACAUUUUGGAGACAUAUGUAACUGAGCAUCAAGUUCUUGUUUUAGACAAUCGUAUAAACGUUGCUUUAUGACAGCAAAAUAUACAUCAGGCAAGUCACAAAUAAGGUUUUGGCUAUACCAUACAUCACCUAAACCAAUAAGAAAAAGUUCGUUCUUUAUAAAAUACAACCAGUUACACUUAUUAUUUGGACAUCUCUCUAAUUCACAAUACAAGUAGUUAUAACAAUUUUUCAAUAUACAGUUUGAAGUAUUUAGCAAUUUAAACCAAUAUUUGAAAAUCUUACAUUUUCUUGCGAAAAUAAGAGGCAAUCUACCUAGUUCUUGAUAUAUCAUAACAUUGUUAGUAGACAACUUAACACCAAGUAUAUUUUUACAAUAGUUCAUGUGGACUCUCUCUAUUGCCGGGGCUUUAUGUGCACCCCAUAUUUCGCUUGCAUAACUCAAUAAAGAAUUUAUAUAAGUAUCAAACAGUGAUAACAAAGUGACAUAGUUUAAACACAUACUUUUCACAUUUCUUCUUAAAGCAAACAUUGCUUUUCUACCUUGUUCUGACAAUUUCUGUUGUAACAUAUUAUAUUUGCCAUUAAAAUUUAAAAGUACACCAAGGUAAGUAAAAUUAUCAACAACUUCAAUUUCCUUAUUAUCAUAAUACCAUUUCUCAUCAACAUGAACUCUUCCACCUUUCCUAAAUACAACAAUUUUAGUUUUAUCAAUAUUAACACUCAAUGACCAUUUUGAUGUAUACUCAUAUAAUGUAUCAAGCAUAUUUUGUAACCCCAAAACAGAUUCUGAGAAAAUAACCAUAUCAUCAGCAUACAUAAGUAAAAAUAAAUUCAAUUCUUUCAUCUCAUAUGGUAUGGCAUUACUAUUAAUGAAAGCCAUUUCACAAUCGUUAACAUAUAAUGAAAAAAGUAUGGGAGAUAACACCUCUCCCUGCAUCAAGCCC
Molecule: long non-coding RNA, 1054 nt
Filed under: Mytilus galloprovincialis (Mediterranean mussel)
Lineage: Eukaryota; Metazoa; Mollusca; Bivalvia; Mytilida; Mytilidae
Source: RNAcentral